GUUGUUGUCUCUUAACAAACAGCUUCUUAUCUACAAUACUUGGGGUGUUUAAGCUGUUCUUGUUGUUAUCAUCAAGUCAAUGUUUGCUAAUAUGCAUUGUUCAUGUUGGCUUUGUUGUUCUUGUGUGUAGUUGUAUGUUAUAAAGUUUCCUUCUUUGUCUUGUUAUUGAAGUCAAAAGUAUGUUCGGUUUGUAAAAUUAAACUAGGCACUGUUGCUUGUUAUCCUCAUGGCAGUUGUUUCUUAAUGUUCUGAUCGUAUAAACUCAAGUGACUUAAGUCAUAAAUUUUCUAAAACUUUUUCUUUAUAAUGACAUGUGAUGAGUGGGGGAUUGUAUUACGAUCAAGGAGGAGAAUGUUAUGAGAAUGCAAAGGGCACUUGCAUUCCAAUCUAUAAACUUAAGGACCUCAGUAGAGCUUUGUUUGACUUUGGCUCUUCCACCGAAGAUAAAGAGAGUGUUUUACAUGUGAAGCUGGCUUAGGAAACUAAAGAUGAGUUUGCUGCAGUUUUACAAGUCACUGAGCCAUCUAAAACAAGGUGAGGAAACAUAGACUUGGCUGGCUUUGACACACCCGCGGGCUUGUACCGCCAAUGCUUGUGCAAGUAGCGGGUCGGGAUUGGGCAGCACUUCUAGUGACCGCAU
Brassica oleracea var. oleracea is the source of this 640-nucleotide long non-coding RNA. RefSeq lists it as uncharacterized. NCBI's taxonomy places the organism in Eukaryota, Viridiplantae, Streptophyta, Magnoliopsida, Brassicales, Brassicaceae. The record is from RefSeq and is a predicted model, not a curated record. The transcript is spliced from 3 exons.